UUACGGCCGUAUCACGUUGAAACACUGGUUUCCGCAUGAUCACCAAAAUUAAGCAACAUCAUGCCUGUCUAGUACCUAGAAGGGUGACUGCUUGGGAAUACCAGGA
Non-coding RNA from Acanthosepion pharaonis, 106 nucleotides. Lineage: Eukaryota; Metazoa; Mollusca; Cephalopoda; Sepiida; Sepiidae. The record is from the annotation of a GenBank genome assembly.